UACGUAGGGUGCAAGCGUUGUCCGGAAUUAUUGGGCGUAAAGAGCUCGUAGGCGGUCUGUCGCGUCGGCUGUGAAAUCCCGAGGCUCAACCUCGGGUCUGCAGUCGAUACGGGCAAACUGGAGUGUUGCAGGGGAGACUGGAAUUCCUGGUGUAGCGGUGAAAUGCGCAGAUAUCAGGAGGAACACCGGUGGCGAAGGCGGGUCUCUGGGCAACAACUGACGCUGAUGCGCGAAAGCUAGGGGAGCAAACGGG
RNAcentral lists this ribosomal RNA (253 nucleotides) under uncultured bacterium. RNAcentral describes it as "partial 16S ribosomal RNA". It matches the Rfam family "Bacterial small subunit ribosomal RNA", at positions 524 to 776 of the family's 1533-position model. The record is from RNAcentral.